RNAcentral lists this transfer RNA (75 nucleotides) under Lasiosphaeria miniovina. It matches the Rfam family "tRNA". Rfam says of the family: Transfer RNA (tRNA) molecules are approximately 80 nucleotides in length. Their secondary structure includes four short double-helical elements and three loops (D, anti-codon, and T loops). Further hydrogen bonds mediate the characteristic L-shaped molecular structure. tRNAs have two regions of fundamental functional importance: the anti-codon, which is responsible for specific mRNA codon recognition, and the 3' end, to which the tRNAs corresponding amino acid is attached (by aminoacyl-tRNA synthetases). tRNAs cope with the degeneracy of the genetic code in two manners: having more than one tRNA (with a specific anti-codon) for a particular amino acid; and 'wobble' base-pairing, i.e. permitting non-standard base-pairing at the 3rd anti-codon position. Lineage: Eukaryota; Fungi; Ascomycota; Sordariomycetes; Sordariales; Lasiosphaeriaceae. The record is from Rfam by way of RNAcentral.
GCCCGGCUAGCUCAAUCAGUAGAGCGUGAGACUCUUAAUCUCAAGGUUGGGUGGGUUCGACCCCCACGUCGGGCU